GACGAACGCUGGCGGCGUGCCUAAUACAUGCAAGUCGAACGCAUUUUCUUUCACCGUAGCUUGCUACACCGAAAGAAAAUGAGUGGCGAACGGGUGAGUAACACGUGGGUAACCUGCCCAUCAGCGGGGGAUAACACUUGGAAACAGGUGCUAAUACCGCAUAAUUCCAUUUACUGCAUGGUAGAUGGAUGAAAGGCGCUUUUGCGGCACUGAUGGAUGGACCCGCGGUGCAUUAGCUAGUUGGUGGGGUAACGGCCUACCAAGGCUGCGAUGCAUAGCCGACCUGGGAGGGUGGUCGGCCACCCUGGGACUGGGACACGGCCCAGACUCCUACGGGAGGCAGCAGUAGGGAAUCUUCGGCAAUGGACGCAAGUCUGACCGAGCAACGCCGCGUGAGUGAAGAAGGUUUUCGGAUCGUAAAACUCUGUUGUUAGAAAAGAACAAGGAUGAGAGUGGAAAGUUCAUCCCUUGACGGUAUCUAAACAGAAAGCCACGGCUAACUACGUG
Molecule: ribosomal RNA, 507 nt
Filed under: uncultured bacterium
Lineage: Bacteria
Description: partial 16S ribosomal RNA
Rfam family: Bacterial small subunit ribosomal RNA
Source: RNAcentral